Molecule: long non-coding RNA, 482 nt
Filed under: Struthio camelus australis
Lineage: Eukaryota; Metazoa; Chordata; Aves; Struthioniformes; Struthionidae
Description: lncRNA (ENSSCUG00000016123.1)
Source: RNAcentral
CCCCCAGCCUGGUGCAUGGGUUUAUUUUAACCUUUGUAGUAAGAUAAGCUGGAAUAUACAACGAAAAAGAAGCAGAUUUACUACAGGUGGUUCACAGAAGAAAAAAAAGCUGGGUUAUUUUAGUUGGAGACUUUUUUUUUUUCACUCCAUUAGCUAUUUAUACCUAUCUUUAUUGCAGCUCCACUUUUCUCACCAUUUAUUGGGAAUAAGUCGCUACACAGUUGAUGGAAAGGGAAAAAAAAACCAAAGUCAAUAUGCAAAAAGGACUGCACAUGAGAGAAAUAAACAAGUGAACUAUAUCUACAAUAUGAUGAGCUCUAACUUACCUAUUACUGUUCCUGAGAGAAAUAAUUCUGUGAAAAUGUUAGUGCUCAGCAGCAGCAAUAAAUAAAUAAUUUUCUGAUGUCCUUGCAUCUUGAAUACUUCAUAGAAUACUUUAUUAGAAAAAAUAUAGUUGGACAAUAAAGGUACAAAGGAUGGCA